UACGGAGGAUGCAAGCGUUAUCCGGAUUUAUUAGGUUUAAAGGGUGCGUAGGUGGGCGUUUAAGUCAGUGGUUAAAGCCAUUAGCUUAACUAAUGUAUGCCAUUGAUACUGGAUGUCUUGAAUGUGGUAGAGGUAGGCGGAAUGUGUUGUGUAGCGGUGAAAUGCUUAGAUAUAACACAGAACACCGAUUGCGAAGGCAGCUUACUAUUCCAUUAUUGACGCUGAUGCGCGAAAGCGUGGGGAUCAAACAGG
RNAcentral lists this ribosomal RNA (252 nucleotides) under uncultured prokaryote. Its description in RNAcentral is "partial 16S ribosomal RNA". It matches the Rfam family "Bacterial small subunit ribosomal RNA", at positions 524 to 776 of the family's 1533-position model. The record is from RNAcentral.